UACGUAGGUGGCAAGCGUUGUCCGGAAUUAUUGGGCGUAAAGCGCGCGCAGGUGGUCCUUUAAGUCUGAUGUGAAAGCCCACGGACUCGAACCGUCGGAGGGUCAUUGGAAACUGGGGGACUUGAGUGCAGAAGAGGAUAGUGGAAUUCCAAGUGUAGCGGUGAAAUGCGUAGAGAUUUGGAGGAACACCAGUGGCGAAGGCGACUAUCUGUCUGUAACUGACACUGAGGCGCGAAAGCGUGGGAGCAAACAGGG
This 255-nucleotide ribosomal RNA is filed under the name uncultured bacterium. Its description in RNAcentral is "partial 16S ribosomal RNA". It matches the Rfam family "Bacterial small subunit ribosomal RNA", at positions 524 to 777 of the family's 1533-position model. The record is from RNAcentral.